RNAcentral lists this ribosomal RNA (253 nucleotides) under uncultured bacterium. RNAcentral describes it as "partial 16S ribosomal RNA". It matches the Rfam family "Bacterial small subunit ribosomal RNA", at positions 524 to 776 of the family's 1533-position model. The record is from RNAcentral.
UACGUAGGGGGCGAGCGUUGUCCGGAUUUAUUGGGCGUAAAGAGCGUGUAGGCGGCCAGGUAGGUCUGCUGUGAAAACUCGAGGCUCAACCUCGAGACGUCGGCGGAAACCAUCUGGCUAGAGUCCGGAAGAGGAGAGUGGAAUUCCUGGUGUAGCGGUGAAAUGCGCAGAUAUCAGGAAGAACACCCGUGGCGAAGGCGGCUCUCUGGGACGGUACUGACGCUGAGACGCGACAGCGUGGGGAGCGAACAGG